RNAcentral lists this ribosomal RNA (253 nucleotides) under uncultured bacterium. RNAcentral's name for it is "partial 16S ribosomal RNA". It matches the Rfam family "Bacterial small subunit ribosomal RNA", at positions 524 to 776 of the family's 1533-position model. The record is from RNAcentral.
UACAGAGGGUGCAAGCGUUAAUCGGAAUUACUGGGCGUAAAGCGCGCGUAGGCGGCUGUCUAAGUCGGGUGUGAAAGCCCCGGGCUCAACCUGGGAAUUGCAUUCGAUACUGGAUAGCUAGAGUUCGGCAGAGGGAAGUGGAAUUUCGGGUGUAGCGGUGAAAUGCGUAGAUAUCCGAAGGAACAUCAGUGGCGAAAGCGACUUCCUGGACCAGAACUGACGAUCAGGCACGAAAGCGUGGGGAGCAAACAGG